GAUGAACGCUGGCGGCGUGCCUAAUACAUGCAAGUCGAGCGAACGGACGAGAAGCUUGCUUCUCUGAUGUUAGCGGCGGACGGGUGAGUAACACGUGGAUAACCUACCUAUAAGACUGGGAUAACUUCGGGAAACCGGAGCUAAUACCGGAUAAUAUUUUGAACCGCAUGGUUCAAGAGUGAAAGACGGUCUUGCUGUCACUUAUAGAUGGAUCCGCGCUGCAUUAGCUAGUUGGUAAGGUAACGGCUUACCAAGGCAACGAUGCAUAGCCGACCUGAGAGGGUGAUCGGCCACACUGGAACUGAGACACGGUCCAGACUCCUACGGGAGGCAGCAGUAGGGAAUCUUCCGCAAUGGGCGAAAGCCUGACGGAGCAACGCCGCGUGAGUGAUGAAGGUCUUCGGAUCGUAAAACUCUGUUAUUAGGGAAGAACAUAUGUGUAAGUAACUGUGCACGUCUUGACGGUACCUAAUCAGAAAGCCACGGCUAACUACGUG
Molecule: ribosomal RNA, 497 nt
Filed under: uncultured bacterium
Lineage: Bacteria
Description: partial 16S ribosomal RNA
Rfam family: Bacterial small subunit ribosomal RNA
Source: RNAcentral